UGGGGAAUAUUGGACAAUGGGCGAAAGCCUGAUCCAGCCAUGCCGCGUGUGUGAAGAAGGCCUUUUGGUUGUAAAGCACUUUAAGUGGGGAGGAAAAGCUUAUGGUUAAUACCCAUAAGCCCUGACGUUACCCACAGAAUAAGCACCGGCUAACUCUGUGCCAGCAGCCGCGGUAAUACAGAGGGUGCAAGCGUUAAUCGGAAUUACUGGGCGUAAAGCGCGCGUAGGUGGUUAUUUAAGUCAGAUGUGAAAGCCCCGGGCUUAACCUGGGAACUGCAUCUGAUACUGGAUAACUAGAGUAGGUGAGAGGGGGGUAGAAUUCCACGUGUAGCGGUGAAAUGCGUAGAGAUGUGGAGGAAUACCGAAGGCGAAGGCAGCCCCUUGGGAAUGUACUGACGCUCAUGUGCGAAAGCGUGGGGAGCAAACAGGAUUAGAUACCCUGGUAGUCCACGCUGUAAACGCUGUCGAUUUGGGGGUUGGGGUUUAACUCUGGCGCCCGUAGCUAACGUGAUAAAUCGACCGCCUGGGGAGUACGGCCGCAAGGUUA
RNAcentral lists this ribosomal RNA (547 nucleotides) under uncultured bacterium. RNAcentral describes it as "bacterial SSU rRNA". It matches the Rfam family "Bacterial small subunit ribosomal RNA", at positions 355 to 896 of the family's 1533-position model. The record is from RNAcentral.